CAACUUCUACAGGGAACCUCAUGGAGAAAGAAAAGAAACAUUUCCCAAAUCCAACUAUCAUAGGAAACCGAGAGAAAUGAUUAAUAAUGCAAUAUGGAGAACCAAAACGGUGGUAUACCUCGAGCAGUGAGGAAAGAUUCCUCAUAAAUGAUCUUAAACCCACACUUAAAACCAAAAGACAACCACAAUUAGGAAACGGAUAAAACUUUCAAGCUUUCACCUCCACCUAAAUCUCUCCCUCUCUAUUUGACAUGUUCGUCACCUUUCUUAUAGGAAAGCUCAAAGGAAACCAGAUUUCCACCUUAACACAAAACUGAUGGUGAUAAUAGGAAAGCAGAUCCACCCUUAGCAAUGUAAACCAUAAACUAUCAUGAAGCCCUAUCAUAAAACAAAACUCAUGCACAACACAAGAACCUCAAAGCGAAAUACCAGAACAAGUCAUUAAUGCAGAUGCAAAUCGAUUCAAGAAUUCGAUGGUGUCAAAAUAAAACCAGAGUAAAGGAACAGAGGAUUAAGGAUCUACCAUAUUGAGAUGCUUUGGCGGUGAAUGAACAACGGUGUGCUUUCCCCCUGGGAUUUCAGCCUACCCCAGAUCCCGACGAUCCUUUACGCAUAUCUCUACACGAUUCAUGGGUUUAGCUCGGUUUGCUCAAAGUUCUAGUGAUGAACCUUGAGUAUCCCUUUGGUAUCUUUGAGCUUUGGUGCAGGUUGAGGUGGGAUUUUGACAGGGUAACGGUGCCAAAAUUAGGUCUCCCUCAUCCCAGUGAUGGAUGCUCUUUAUAUAGCUUUGGAGGUACGAGGUUUCUCACUCCUGAGCUGGCAAAGAUUCCAAAAAUCCGUUAGGCUCAAAUCGUUUCCAGAUUUUGGUGUGGUCCCAGGAAUGAAGGUGGUGAGAUUUGUUUCUGUUUUGUCCAUAGUGAGCGAGAAAGCGACGGGUGCGGUGAAAUUCUUCUUUACUGCAGUAAGAACUUUAACUUGAUCUUUAUGUUUCUAAUCCUUUUAUAUAACUGGGACUUUCUCUUUUCAUCCAGUCUGGUAACCGGUAAUUCUUGUCUCUAUACCUUGGUUUAUAAUUCCUUGUCGGUAUACCACAGUCGCCUCUUGUUCAUAACCUUGGCUUGCAGCAUUAACUUGUAACCUUGUCCUUCAUUUGCCUAUUGUUCUACUCCUGGUCUGGCUAUUGUGACGUUAUCCGAGCAUUGCAAGAUGUAAGGUUGGUGUUUUUGUAAGGAGGCAUUUGUGUUAUGCAGGUUUAGAUGUUGAUUCCCAUAUCCUAGCUUGGGAAUCUAAUUUGACAGUCUUAUUAGCCUCAAAAACGGCUUCCAAUGAAUUUCCCUGUAAUGGGAGGCAACCAAUCAACAGAGCACACAGGAGCACUUCAGCACUCCAAAUAUCAACCUUCUCAGAGUAUUUGCCCGACAAUACUUCGGGAGCAACAUAUGCAGUGCUUUCAGCCAAUCCAGUCAAGUUUUGACCUUCUGAAUUUCUCAUGGUCUUUGCUGCUGCUGAUGCAUUGCUGGAUGUUUGUUAUGAUCAUGAUGUAUUUUGGCUAGUGGCUGUAGCACCUGUAUCCCGAUUCUACAGCAAGAUUACGUCGCGGCAUGCACCUGUUGGCAAGGUUUGAAUGAUUGUGUGGUUUAAACCAACAUCUUGUUGUAUUAAAUAUGUACAUGGCUUUAGAGUUCUGCAGGUUGGUGUUUGUAAACUGUCAUCACAGGGUAACUUCUUUUCAUGUGACUCAAGACUUUGUAUCAAAAGAUAUUUGUGAUCACUGAUGGUGAGAACCUGUUUUCUUUACGCAGGAAGGAAGCCCUAAAAAAAAAUUGUGCAGAUCCUACAAGAUCAUGAGCGACUUCCAUCAGCAGCAAGAACAUAUUAGUUCCUACACUAGUAUCACUUCCGGCUACAUCUAGGACAUGGAUGAUGGUUAUGAGGUUAUGUACUCCACAGAACUACAGGUCUUAUGGCAUGUUUGGCAUGACAAUGGUGGCUUGUAAAUUGACAAUGUUAUGUGACAUGGUAUGCUAUAUUCUACUUGCAGCGAACUGGUUUGUUUUGGAAUGUGGCAGUAAUCACUCAAUUAUAUUAUGCCAUUGUUUUAUUUGGUCAUGAAUAACUUGGCAUAGUGAUAACGAUAUCAUGCUAGGCGUUUUUGCAGGUUCAAUGUUGCACAAUGGGCUUGGCCAAGGCUUGGAGAAAAAGCUGCAAAACAAGUGAUCCUGAACUCUGGUGAUGAAACAUGAACAAUUGAGGUUUAGGUCUUUUUUAGGAAAUGGUCAAUAACUGGUUUGUUGGAAUUUGGCCAACCUUUGUAGAGAAUUUGUUAAUUCCUUAUGAUUUUGUAAUGAUGAUUUGUAAUGGAAUUUCUAAAAAGUGAAUUGUUAUUGUAUGAUUUUUAAAGGUGCAUGAAACAGUUUUUGUGAAGUGAAA
Lathyrus oleraceus (garden pea) is the source of this 2430-nucleotide long non-coding RNA. RefSeq lists it as uncharacterized. NCBI's taxonomy places the organism in Eukaryota, Viridiplantae, Streptophyta, Magnoliopsida, Fabales, Fabaceae. The transcript is spliced from 5 exons. The record is from RefSeq and is a predicted model, not a curated record.